AAUCAACGCUGGCGGCGUGCCUCAGACAUGCAAGUCGAACGCGAAAGUCCCCUUCGGGGGACGAGUAGAGUGGCGCACGGGUGAGUAACACGUAGGUAAUCUACCUUUGGAUGGGGAAUAACCACCAGAAACGGUGGCUAAUACCGCAUAAUGCAGCGGCACCUAAUGGUGACAGUUGUUAAAGCGGGGGAUCGCAAGACCUCGCGCCUAAAGAGGAGCCUGCGGCAGAUUAGCUAGUUGGUAAGGUAAUGGCUUACCAAGGCGAUGAUCUGUAGCCGGCCUGAGAGGGCGGUCGGCCACACUGACACUGACAUACGGGUCAGACUCCUACGGGAGGCAGCAGUCGGGAAUUUUGGGCAAUGGGCGAAUGCCUGACCCAGCAACGCCGCGUGAAGGAUGAAAUCCCUCGGGAUGUAAACUUCGCAAGAACGGGAAGAAUAAGCCGGUGCCAACACCACCGGCGAUGACGGUACUGUUUGUAAGCUCCGGCUAACUCCGUGCC
This 502-nucleotide ribosomal RNA is filed under the name uncultured bacterium. RNAcentral's name for it is "bacterial SSU rRNA". It matches the Rfam family "Bacterial small subunit ribosomal RNA", at positions 32 to 509 of the family's 1533-position model. The record is from RNAcentral.